Magnolia sinica is the source of this 253-nucleotide long non-coding RNA. RefSeq lists it as uncharacterized. Lineage: Eukaryota; Viridiplantae; Streptophyta; Magnoliopsida; Magnoliales; Magnoliaceae. The record is from RefSeq and is a predicted model, not a curated record. The transcript is spliced from 3 exons.
AGAAUGAGUGCUAGCAAGAGAUAAGGAUCUCUCAUUGAAGAAAUGAGGCAUUUUAUCCUUGAUGAAUGUGACAAAAUGCUCGAAGCGCUUGGUAUUGAAGGAGAGUUUUAAAAUAUAUUGUUCCAUGAAUGAUGGAAUCAAUAAUCUUAUUCUAGAUUUUUUUGAUAUGUCAAGACAUGAUGCUGUCAAAGCCCUCAACAUUUAUAAAAGAGCAGGCCACCAGGUCUCAUUGCCCUUUAUUUUUAUUUGAAGU